UUUGAAUGGCACUCUACUCCCCUCUCAAAUGCCAUUGGAACUUCUAUCCACCGUUGAAUAUUUGACCCACCGUUCUAUCCGUUGGCGAAGGAAUUUUAGCGGAGAGUGCAUUUCAUACUACCGCCCUUCUCAAAUGCCUUCCCAUUGGGAUUGCUCUAAGUGGCUCUAUCCUCAAGCUUUCUUCAUCUAAUUUAUCUCUCAUCUACAAAGAUUUCCUCAUCGUCGUUGUAUCUCUUGGCUUCUCAAUUUUUCUGGUGAGUGUUUUAGAACAGAACAUAGCUUUAGAAACUUUAGAAAAUUCAGUAUAUUAUUCUUAUAAGAAGUUGUGGAUCGAAUUGAGACCUUAAUUUUUCUUAACGAUUCAAUACAGUUUGGGUGGUUUGAUUUGGAAAUCGAAACCACUUUGGUAUUUGCUCAUCAAAGUCUUAAUACAAGGUGGUGGACGCUCAAUUUUCUGGUGGAAG
Molecule: long non-coding RNA, 464 nt
Filed under: Aquilegia coerulea
Lineage: Eukaryota; Viridiplantae; Streptophyta; Magnoliopsida; Ranunculales; Ranunculaceae
Description: long non-coding RNA (ACOE_LNC002249)
Source: RNAcentral